GAGGGGGCCAAAGGCGACGGGGAAGGGUAUGACUAGAGGGAGAGGAAGUGGUGCGACAUGCACGUCGUAUAUGUGACUGUAUGUAUGUGCGUCAGGUUUAGAGGCGGUGUGUGCUUCAUCAGGAGGGGGCUUGAGAUGUCCCUCCCCGCAGUCCUCACGGUAAACAGACAAGACACACGUACAUACACACACACAUACACACGGCACGACACGGCCGGACGCGACACGACACGGCACGACAAUGCGCCCUAAGAAAGACACAUCCUCGCUAUCCGUACCGUCACACGUACCAUCGGUGGGCCCAAUGACGGUACGGUAGCGCACCCCGACAGCUCUAAGGCGCGUGUCCAUAAGGCCCACGAAUGCGGGCAGUACCCCCAGUCGUACACAAACCGUCAGUUUGAG
Molecule: long non-coding RNA, 405 nt
Filed under: Volvox carteri
Lineage: Eukaryota; Viridiplantae; Chlorophyta; Chlorophyceae; Chlamydomonadales; Volvocaceae
Description: long non-coding RNA (VCAR_LNC002572)
Source: RNAcentral